RNAcentral lists this non-coding RNA (26 nucleotides) under Mus musculus (house mouse). The record is from RNAcentral. Lineage: Eukaryota; Metazoa; Chordata; Mammalia; Rodentia; Muridae.
CAAGUUCUGUCUUGUGAUCCUUUGCU